AUUGAACGCUGGCGGAAUGCUUUACACAUGCAAGUCGAACGACAGCACGGGAGCUUGCUCCUGGUGGCGAGUGGCGAACGGGUGAGUAACAUAUCGGAACGUACCCAGUCGUGGGGGAUAACUAUCCGAAAGGAUAGCUAAUACCGCAUACGUCCUGAGGGAGAAAGCGGGGGAUCGCAAGACCUCGCGCGAUUGGAGCGGCCGAUAUCGGAUUAGCUAGUUGGUGGGGUAAAGGCUCACCAAGGCGACGAUCCGUAGCGGGUCUGAGAGGACGACCCGCCACACUGGAACUGAGACACGGUCCAGACUCCUACGGGAGGCAGCAGUGGGGAAUUUUGGACAAUGGGGGCAACCCUGAUCCAGCCAUUCCGCGUGAGUGAAGAAGGCCUUCGGGUUGUAAAGCUCUUUCAGCAGGAACGAAACGGUCGGCUUUAAUAAAAUCGGCUAAUGACGGUACCUGCAGAAGAAGCACCGGCUAACUACGUG
RNAcentral lists this ribosomal RNA (486 nucleotides) under uncultured bacterium. Its description in RNAcentral is "partial 16S ribosomal RNA". It matches the Rfam family "Bacterial small subunit ribosomal RNA", at positions 30 to 507 of the family's 1533-position model. The record is from RNAcentral.